Molecule: unclassified non-coding RNA, 219 nt
Filed under: Hevea brasiliensis (rubber tree)
Lineage: Eukaryota; Viridiplantae; Streptophyta; Magnoliopsida; Malpighiales; Euphorbiaceae
Source: RNAcentral
GAGUGACACUGUAAAUGAGAUGGAUGUGAGGAAAUUAACAAAGACUUGUUAGCAAAUAAAAUGAACAAAAAAAUCAGAACAUUUUAAAGGAUAUAUAUAACAAAACCAUAACUGACUGACUGGCCAACAAUUUCAGUUUAUUGGAUCAGAUUUCACUGGGUUGGGAAGUUAUGCUAUUUUUUUAACAGCCUACAGGAGAUCACAUGCACUAAUGGUUUA